AUCUCAUGAUGAGGACACUUACAAAGUAACUCAUUGAAUCACUCCCAAGCCUCAUACAAAAACUCAUCAUCCAAUUAUCGAAAAAUUGUUAUCUUGUUCCUCAACUU
This is a non-coding RNA of Gossypium arboreum, 107 nucleotides long. The record is from Rfam. NCBI's taxonomy places the organism in Eukaryota, Viridiplantae, Streptophyta, Magnoliopsida, Malvales, Malvaceae.